Molecule: ribosomal RNA, 253 nt
Filed under: uncultured bacterium
Lineage: Bacteria
Description: partial 16S ribosomal RNA
Rfam family: Bacterial small subunit ribosomal RNA
Source: RNAcentral
UACGUAGGGACCGAGCGUUGUCCGGAUUCAUUGGGCGUAAAGAGCGCGCAGGCGGCUUGACAAGUCGGGUGUGAAAUCCCGGGGCUCAACCCCGGGACUGCAUUCGAUACUGUCAGGCUAGAGGUAGGUAGGGGAGAUCGGAAUUCCUGGUGUAGCGGUGAAAUGCGCAGAUAUCAGGAGGAACACCGGUGGCGAAGGCGGAUCUCUGGGCCGAUACUGACGCUGAGGAGCGAAAGCUAGGGGAGCAAACGGG